GACUGAAGCCUGUUAUGAUGACUUCAACACAUUUCUUCUGACAGGUUGGCAGAAGAAAUGCUGUCCAGAAUGUUUCUUUAAGCUGACUAAUUUUUAUUAUGCCUAAUGUCUGAGUUGUGUUCAUGGUAAUUAUUUCUGACAUUUUUAUGCUUUAUGUUGUAGGUGGUGAAAAAUGCUCUACCGGGUAAACCGGGUGGACAAAGUAUUUUGGCUGGGAAAACCAGGCAUUCUUCUGUUGGUUCAUGUGCUUUGUCCUACAUCCAAAGGCCACAAGAAGAAUCCAAAACGGCUCAUGUGAAACUUGGACCAUGUUUUCAGAUAUGUGCAGAUGCAAGCCAGUGUUGAAGCCUUCCUCAUUGCCGUGCAACCAGGACAGCCCUUCCUCCUGCAUGUUGGUGAAAACAAGAGCAGCACCAAAGACACUUC
Molecule: non-coding RNA, 426 nt
Organism: Poecilia reticulata (guppy)
Lineage: Eukaryota; Metazoa; Chordata; Actinopteri; Cyprinodontiformes; Poeciliidae
Source: RefSeq, a predicted model, not a curated record